Molecule: ribosomal RNA, 2372 nt
Filed under: uncultured Clostridium sp.
Lineage: Bacteria; Bacillati; Bacillota; Clostridia; Eubacteriales; Clostridiaceae
Description: partial contains 16S ribosomal RNA, 16S-23S ribosomal RNA intergenic spacer, and 23S ribosomal RNA
Rfam family: Bacterial small subunit ribosomal RNA (bases 1-1498)
Source: RNAcentral
GAUAAACGCUGGCGGCGCACAUAAGACAUGCAAGUCGAACGAACUUAAUUAAUUUGUUUACAAAUUGAAGCGGUUAGUGGCGGACUGGUGAGUAACACGUAAGCAACCUGCCUGUUAGAGGGGAAUAACAAUGAGAAAUUAUUGCUAAUACCGCAUAUGCCAUAGAUAUCACAUGAUAUUAGUGGGAAAGGAGCAAUCCGCUAACAGAUGGGCUUGCGUCUGAUUAGAUAGUUGGUGGGGUAACGGCCUACCAAGUCAACGAUCAGUAGCCGGACUGAGAGGUUGAACGGCCACAUUGGGACUGAGAUACGGCCCAGACUCCUACGGGAGGCAGCAGUCGGGAAUAUUGCGCAAUGGAGGAAACUCUGACGCAGUGACGCCGCGUAUAGGAAGAAGGUUUUCGGAUUGUAAACUAUUGUCGUUAGGGAAGAAAAAAGACAGUACCUAAGGAGGAAGCUCCGGCUAACUACGUGCCAGCAGCCGCGGUAAUACGUAGGGAGCAAGCGUUAUCCGGAAUUAUUGGGUGUAAAGGGUGCGUAGACGGGAGUCUAAGUUAGUUGUGAAAUCCCUCGGCUCAACUGAGGAACUGCAACUAAAACUGGACAUCUUGAGUGCAGGAGAGGAAAGUGGAAUUCCUAGUGUAGCGGUGAAAUGCGUAGAUAUUAGGAGGAACACCAGUGGCGAAGGCGACUUUCUGGACUGUAACUGACGUUGAGGCACGAAAGUGUGGGGAGCAAACAGGAUUAGAUACCCUGGUAGUCCACACUGUAAACGAUGGAUACUAGGUGUAGGAGAUAUUAAGUUUUCUGUGCCGUCGCAAACGCAAUAAGUAUCCCACCUGGGGAGUACGACCGCAAGGUUGAAACUCAAAGGAAUUGACGGGGGCCCGCACAAGCAGUGGAGUAUGUGGUUUAAUUCGAAGCAACGCGAAGAACCUUACCAGGGCUUGACAUAUAGAGUAAUAUCUAAGAGAUUAGAUAGUCCUUCGGGAACUCUAUACAGGUGGUGCAUGGUUGUCGUCAGCUCGUGUCGUGAGAUGUUGGGUUAAGUCCCGCAACGAGCGCAACCCCUGUUUCUAGUUGCCAGCACGUAAAGGUGGGAACUCUAGAGAGACUGCCGGUGAUAAAUCGGAGGAAGGUGGGGACGACGUCAAAUCAUCAUGCCCUUUAUGUCCUGGGCUACACACGUACUACAAUGGCUAUAACAAAGGGAAGCGAAACCGCGAGGUGAAGCGAAACUCAAAAAAGUAGUCUCAGUUCGGAUUGAAGGCUGAAAUUCGCCUUCAUGAAGCCGGAAUUGCUAGUAAUGGCAGGUCAGCAUACUGCCGUGAAUACGUUCCCGGGCCUUGUACACACCGCCCGUCACACCAUGAGAGUUGGGGAUACCCGAAGCCUGUGAGCCAACAUUUAUGAGGCAGCAGUCGAAGGUAGAAUCAAUGAUUGGGGUGAAGUCGUAACAAGGUAGCCGUAUCGGAAGGUGCGGCUGGAUCACCUCCUUUCUAAGGAGAUAUGUCUUUAUCAUUUGGAUUUAUUGUUUAUUUUUCAAUGUGCUUAUACUUAAUAAGUACAUUGUUUGUUAAUUAUAAUGCCUUAUUACAAGUUCGAAAUGAUGGUAGUAAGAAGUAGAUUGAAUUGAAAAGUUAUAAUUAGCAUAAAAACCUGGGGCUGUAGCUCAGUUGGCUAGAGCGCCUGCCUUGCAAGCAGGAGGUCAGGAGUUCGACUCUCCUCAGCUCCACCAUUUAAUAUACUUAAAUGGAAAUAGCACAUUGAAAAAUAUAUAGAUAUAUGAUGAAAAAAAGGUAAACUAGAAAAGAACUAGAAACAAAACCGAAACAAUAAUAACACUUUUUCAAUAUAGAAAUAUAAAGAAAAAGAAGGUUAAGCUACUAAGAGCGUAGGGUGAAUGCCUAGGCACCAAGAGCCGAAGAAGGACGUGAUAAGCUGCGAAAAGCCACGGGGAGGAGCAAAUAUCCAUCAAUCCGUGGAUGUCCGAAUGAGGGAACUCAUCUAGUAAAAAGAAACUAGAUAUCCAUACAUGAGUAAAGUAGUGUAUAGGAAGGGAACGUGGGGAACUGAAACAUCUAAGUACCCACAGGAAAAGAAAGAAAACUCGAUUCCUAGAGUAGUGGCGAGCGAAAUAGGAGAAGCCUAAAUCAAGGAUAGCAAUAUCCUUGAGGUUAUGGACUACAUAAUCGAUUCAACAAGUCUAAUAGAAUUGUCUGGAAAGUCAAACCAUAGACAGUGAAAGUCUGGUAUAUGAAAGAUAAGUUGACGAGGUAGUAUCCGGAGUAGUACGAGGCACGUGAAAUCUCGUAUGAACAUGUGGGGACCACCCCAUAAGGCUAAAUACUACUUGGUGACCGAUAGUGAAGC